This 585-nucleotide ribosomal RNA is filed under the name Burkholderia sp. StRD682. RNAcentral's name for it is "bacterial SSU rRNA". It matches the Rfam family "Bacterial small subunit ribosomal RNA", at positions 102 to 683 of the family's 1533-position model. Lineage: Bacteria; Pseudomonadati; Pseudomonadota; Betaproteobacteria; Burkholderiales; Burkholderiaceae. RNAcentral also lists the same sequence under 2 other names. The record is from RNAcentral.
ACGGGUGAGUAAUACAUCGGAACGUGUCCUGGAGUGGGGGAUAGCCCGGCGAAAGCCGGAUUAAUACCGCAUACGCUCUAAGGAGGAAAGGGGGGGAUCUUAGGACCUCUCGCUCAAGGGGCGGCCGAUGGCAGAUUAGCUAGUUGGUGGGGUAAAGGCCUACCAAGGCGACGAUCUGUAGCUGGUCUGAGAGGACGACCAGCCACACUGGGACUGAGACACGGCCCAGACUCCUACGGGAGGCAGCAGUGGGGAAUUUUGGACAAUGGGCGCAAGCCUGAUCCAGCAAUGCCGCGUGUGUGAAGAAGGCCUUCGGGUUGUAAAGCACUUUUGUCCGGAAAGAAAACCCCUGCCCUAAUACGGCGGGGGGAUGACGGUACCGGAAGAAUAAGCACCGGCUAACUACGUGCCAGCAGCCGCGGUAAUACGUAGGGUGCGAGCGUUAAUCGGAAUUACUGGGCGUAAAGCGUGCGCAGGCGGUUCGUUAAGACAGAUGUGAAAUCCCCGGGCUUAACCUGGGAACUGCAUUUGUGACUGGCGGGCUAGAGUAUGGCAGAGGGGGGUAGAAUUCCACGUGUAGCAGUG